This 254-nucleotide ribosomal RNA is filed under the name uncultured bacterium. RNAcentral's name for it is "partial 16S ribosomal RNA". It matches the Rfam family "Bacterial small subunit ribosomal RNA", at positions 524 to 776 of the family's 1533-position model. The record is from RNAcentral.
GACGAACCGUGCGAACGUUAUUCGGAAUCAUUGGGCUUAAAGGGCGCGUAGGCGGCGGUGUAAGUUGGAGGUGAAAUCCCAUCGGCUCAACCGUGGAAUUGCUCCCAGUACUGCAUCGCUCGAGGGGGAUAGGGGUUUGCGGAACUACCGGUGGAGCGGUGAAAUGUGUUGAUAUCGGUGGGAACGCCAGUGGCGAAAGCGGCAAACUUGACCCUUCCUGACGCUGAGGCGCGAAAGCUAGGGGAGCAAACGGG